This is a non-coding RNA of Acanthosepion pharaonis, 112 nucleotides long. The record is from the annotation of a GenBank genome assembly. Lineage: Eukaryota; Metazoa; Mollusca; Cephalopoda; Sepiida; Sepiidae.
AUGGCCAUAUCACAUUAAAACACCGAUUCCCAUACAAUCACUGAAGUUAAGCAAUGCUAAAUCUGGUCAGUAUCUAGAUGGGUGGCCGUUUGGGAAUACUGGGUGCUGUAAG